This 92-nucleotide microRNA precursor is filed under the name Canis lupus dingo (dingo). Its description in RNAcentral is "mir-8799 microRNA precursor family". It matches the Rfam family "mir-8799 microRNA precursor family". The record is from Rfam by way of RNAcentral. Lineage: Eukaryota; Metazoa; Chordata; Mammalia; Carnivora; Canidae.
GGGGGGAGCGCCGGAUCUUGGGCAGUGUCCCUGGUGCCCUGUGCUCCCGGGCCUGUGCUGCUGGAAUCAAGCUCUGGGUCUGGCAGCUCUCU